AGUGAACGCUGGCGGUAGGCCUAACACAUGCAAGUCGAACGGCAGCACAGUAAGAGCUUGCUCUUACGGGUGGCGAGUGGCGGACGGGUGAGGAAUACAUCGGAAUCUACUUUUUCGUGGGGGAUAACGUAGGGAAACUUACGCUACUACCGCAUACGACCUACGGGUGAAAGCAGGGGAUCUUCGGACCUUGCGCGAUUGAAUGAGCCGAUGUCGGAUUAGCUAGUUGGCGGGGUAAAGGCCCACCAAGGCGACGAUCCGUAGCUGGUCUGAGAGGAUGAUCAGCCACACUGGAACUGAGACACGGUCCAGACUCCUACGGGAGGCAGCAGUGGGGAAUAUUGGACAAUGGGCGAAAGCCUGAUCCAGCCAUACCGCGUGGGUGAAGAAGGCCUUCGGGUUGUAAAGCCCUGUUGUUGGGAAAGAAAAGCAGCAGGUUAAUACCCCGCUGUUCUGACGGUACCCAAAGAAUAAGCACCGGCUAACUUCGUG
Molecule: ribosomal RNA, 492 nt
Filed under: uncultured bacterium
Lineage: Bacteria
Description: partial 16S ribosomal RNA
Rfam family: Bacterial small subunit ribosomal RNA
Source: RNAcentral